AUUGAACGCUGGCGGCAUGCCUUACACAUGCAAGUCGAACGGUAACAGGUUAAGCUGACGAGUGGCGAACGGGUGAGUAAUGUAUCGGAACGUGCCCAGUCGUGGGGGAUAACUGCUCGAAAGAGCAGCUAAUACCGCAUACGACCUGAGGGUGAAAGCGGGGGAUCGCAAGACCUCGCGCGAUUGGAGCGGCCGAUAUCAGAUUAGGUAGUUGGUGAGGUAAAGGCUCACCAAGCCGACGAUCUGUAGCUGGUCUGAGAGGACGACCAGCCACACUGGGACUGAGACACGGCCCAGACUCCUACGGGAGGCAGCAGUGGGGAAUUUUGGACAAUGGGCGCAAGCCUGAUCCAGCCAUGCCGCGUGCGGGAAGAAGGCCUUCGGGUUGUAAAACGCUUUUGUCAGGGAAGAAAAGGUUCUGGCUAAUACCUGGGACUCAUGACGGUACCUGAAGAAUAAGCACCGGCUAACUACGUG
Molecule: ribosomal RNA, 477 nt
Filed under: uncultured bacterium
Lineage: Bacteria
Description: partial 16S ribosomal RNA
Rfam family: Bacterial small subunit ribosomal RNA
Source: RNAcentral